RNAcentral lists this ribosomal RNA (510 nucleotides) under uncultured bacterium. RNAcentral describes it as "partial 16S ribosomal RNA". It matches the Rfam family "Bacterial small subunit ribosomal RNA", at positions 28 to 507 of the family's 1533-position model. The record is from RNAcentral.
GACGAACGCUGGCGGCGUGCUUAACACAUGCAAGUCGAACGAAGAGCGAUGGAAGCUUGCUUCUAUCAAUCUUAGUGGCGAACGGGUGAGUAACGCGUAAUCAACCUUCCCUUCAGAGGGGGACAACAGUUGGAAACGACUGCUAAUACCGCAUACGAUCUAAUCUCGGCAUCGAGGAUAGAUGAAAGGUGGCCUCUAAAUGUAAGCUAGCACUGAAGGUGGGGAGUGCGGCUGGUUAGCUAGGUGGAGGGGUAAGGGCGCAACAAGGCGAGGAUAAGUAGCCGGUCUGAGAGAAUGAACGGCCACAUUGGGACUGAGACACGGCCCAGACUCCUACGGGAGGCAGCAGUGGGGAAUCUUCCGCAAUGGACGAAAGUCUGACGGAGCAACGCCGCGUGAGUGAUGACGGCCUUCGGGUUGUAAAGCUCUGUUAAUCGGGACGAAAGGCCUUCUUGCGAAUAGUGAGAAGGAUUGACGGUACCGGAAUAGAAAGCCACGGCUAACUACGUG